RNAcentral lists this transfer RNA (60 nucleotides) under Dolophilodes bellatulus. RNAcentral's name for it is "tRNA-Cys". The record is from RNAcentral. Lineage: Eukaryota; Metazoa; Arthropoda; Insecta; Trichoptera; Philopotamidae.
AGUUUUAUAGUCAAAGUAUGAUAUUAAAUUGCAAAUUUAAAGUUGAUUUAUCUAAAGCUU